AUUGUUCUUGAUACUACUGCCGGUUUAAGCUGAAGCACAGUAUUUGUGUGGAUUUUACGUCAGUAUAAUUUUUUGCGGUCUAAGAUUAAGUGUAGUUGCAGAAUAAUUCCAGCAGAGGGAGCUGUAUACCGAGGGGUUACGCUAAAGCUUCUUGUCCUUUUACUUAUUACACGCGUAAAGUGUGUUCGUGCGUCAUCCAGGUAAAAAUAGAGGAGCUCCAGGUGUGAGCUCUUAUACAUUAUACAUUAGUUAUUACGUUAAUUUUUAGUCAAAGCCAUGUAGACUAAACUGUUACCGUUGAUCGAAAGAGCAUGGGUCGUAUUCGCUAGUGUUAGCGUGCUAUGCUAGCCUGUGCAAGACACAGUUCAGCUGCACGAGACCACUCAAUGGAAUAUAUAAUAGAGCCCGGAAGAGUGCAUUCAAGUCUGGAGUUGCCACAGCAUGUAGAAUUGCCAAAAGUCACGGGAGCCACAGAGGUGAAGAGGCUUUUAGGAACCAAAUAACUUCUAUGCACGGUUUGAGGUUAACAACACCUUUCAGGCACAGAGGCUUCCACUAUCAUCCAGCGGACGGGUACUUCAGCCGUCUACUUCACCAGCGUCAACCCACUGAAAGCAACGUCCCUGGAGCUGUGGUUAAGGACUGUGCAGAACAACUGAAGGAUGUUUCCACAGACAUCUUUAAUACAUCCUUCAGUUCUACAGGUAUUGUAGUGUGUGCUCUUGCUCAAAUCAUCAGCCAGCUGCUGGUGCCUCCUUUCAUUAAACCGUCAUCAAUCAACUUUAUUUCUAUGUAAAUCAUGGAUAAAUGAAGACUGGGCUGCUGCUUGCUCAGGGUGUGUUUGUCUGAGGGCGCUGCUGGAAAUGAAGCAGAUUGAAGCUGGAUGGGGUGAAGUUUGCACAUUCCACCAGUCGUUGCUCCCAGUGGGUUUGCAGUUAUCAGGCCCACGUCAUUAAAACAUGAACCAGUGAAGAGGGGUGUUGCAUUCCAGAGUUACCCAGCAGAGCGCAGCACAGACCUGCUGAAUGGAACCCGCUAUGACUGCUUUUGGCUUUGCACAGAGAAACACAUUUGACUGUUCCUGCAGUUUUACUCCUUCAUUCAAAGUAUCAUCAUUUAGCAUCAUCCAGAAAUAUACAGUUUCAGAUAUUUUAAAUACAAGUAAAUGUGUAAAAAACUUAAUUGUGAUAUUUGCCUUUCAUAAUUGUAACAAUUUAAUUUUAAUUUGUAAAUCCAAUUUCCAUGAGAGAUUUUCAUAAAAAGUCACACUUUUAACACCAUGAGUUGUAAAAUAAAUAGAAAAUAUAGUGACA
RNAcentral lists this long non-coding RNA (1313 nucleotides) under Betta splendens (Siamese fighting fish). RNAcentral's name for it is "lncRNA (ENSBSLG00000000705.1)". Lineage: Eukaryota; Metazoa; Chordata; Actinopteri; Anabantiformes; Osphronemidae. The record is from RNAcentral.